Molecule: small RNA, 75 nt
Filed under: Xanthomonas floridensis
Lineage: Bacteria; Pseudomonadati; Pseudomonadota; Gammaproteobacteria; Lysobacterales; Lysobacteraceae
Description: sX9 sRNA
Rfam family: Xanthomonas sRNA sX9
Source: RNAcentral
ACGUGCCGUGUCCACGCCGGUUCCUGUGCGCCGCCUACACCCACCUGCCGACCGCUCGCUACGUUUUUGUCAGCA